This 466-nucleotide ribosomal RNA is filed under the name uncultured bacterium. RNAcentral describes it as "partial 16S ribosomal RNA". It matches the Rfam family "Bacterial small subunit ribosomal RNA", at positions 28 to 507 of the family's 1533-position model. The record is from RNAcentral.
GACGAACGCUGGCGGCGUGCUUAACACAUGCAAGUCGAACGGAAAGGCCCUGCUUGCCGGGUACUCGAGUGGCGAACGGGUGAGUAACACGUGGGUGAUCUGCCCUGCACUUCGGGAUAAGCUUGGGAAACUGGGUCUAAUACCGGAUAGGAGCCAUCUUUAGUGUGGUGGUUGGAAAGUUUUUUCGGUGUAGGAUGAGCUCGCGGCCUAUCAGCUUGUUGGUGGGGUAAUGGCCUACCAAGGCGGCGACGGGUAGCCGGCCUGAGAGGGUGUACGGCCACAUUGGGACUGAGAUACGGCCCAGACUCCUACGGGAGGCAGCAGUGGGGAAUAUUGUACAAUGGGCGCAAGCCUGAUGCAGCGACGCCGCGUGGGGGAUGAAGGCCUUCGGGUUGUAAACUCCUUUCGCUAGGGACGAAGCUUUGUUGUGACGGUACCUAGAGAAGAAGCACCGGCUAACUACGUG